GUUAGUAUUGAGACUUAAAUGUAAAUAACAAUCAUUUAAAAAGUAGCGACAGUUACGCUUAAUUAUCCCGACCUUAUCAUCUAAGUGUACAUUGUCAUUGGAACAAAUUUGUUGACACGAAGGCGUCUGCAUACCCGCGAUUGAUCGCGAGUCAUUUUGCACACCGAAACUCCGUGUCUUACAUGUAACAUGUAAUGCACAUUCGCUCCUCACGUGAAUGGAAUCAAGCUCUCUCUAUUUAACCGUGAGGUCAACGCCGAUUAUCUCAAGGAACUCAUCUUCUUUCUAGCGUAUAAAAAAAUCGAAAAAUUUGCAUUUAUUGUUC
Molecule: long non-coding RNA, 325 nt
Filed under: Cotesia glomerata
Lineage: Eukaryota; Metazoa; Arthropoda; Insecta; Hymenoptera; Braconidae
Description: uncharacterized LOC123273293, transcript variant X1
Source: RNAcentral